This 508-nucleotide ribosomal RNA is filed under the name uncultured bacterium. RNAcentral's name for it is "partial 16S ribosomal RNA". It matches the Rfam family "Bacterial small subunit ribosomal RNA", at positions 28 to 507 of the family's 1533-position model. The record is from RNAcentral.
GACGAACGCUGGCGGCGUGCCUAAUACAUGCAAGUCGAGCGCUUAUUUCAGGUCCUUGUCCCUCCCACAUUAGCAGCGAACGGGUGAGUACCGCGUGGGAACCCUUCCUUUACGUCCGGGACAACGUGGGGAAACGCUUGCUAAUACCGGAUAAUAUCUUUAAACACAUGUUUCAAUAUUGAAAGAGGGUUUUGCGUCCCUUUAGGUGUCGCUCACGGUCGCAUCAGCGGUUGAUUAGCUAGUUGGUUAGGUAAGGGAUCACCAAGGCAACGACGGAUAGGGGACCUGGGAGGGGGAUCGGCCACACUGGAACGGAGACCCGGCCAAGACUCCUACGGGAGGCAGAGGAAGGGAAUCUUCGGCAAUGGGCGAAAGCCUGACGGAGCAACGCCGCGUGAGUGAUGAAGGUUUUCGGAUCGUAAAACUCUGUUGUUAGGGAAGAACAAGGGGGUAAGUAACUGAGCAUCACGUGACGGUAUCUAACCAGAAAGCCACGGCUAACUACGUG